CUGCACUGAUGAUUGUAGAUGUGACUGACCUGGAAUUGCUGGCUUCCGAGUUGGCUCUGUUCAGGAAAUGACCUCAGUUAAUCUUCUCUCUGAGCAA
Parambassis ranga (Indian glassy fish) is the source of this 97-nucleotide small nucleolar RNA. The record is from Ensembl. Lineage: Eukaryota; Metazoa; Chordata; Actinopteri; Ambassidae.